Molecule: transfer RNA, 76 nt
Filed under: Dipodomys ordii (Ord's kangaroo rat)
Lineage: Eukaryota; Metazoa; Chordata; Mammalia; Rodentia; Heteromyidae
Rfam family: tRNA
About the family: Transfer RNA (tRNA) molecules are approximately 80 nucleotides in length. Their secondary structure includes four short double-helical elements and three loops (D, anti-codon, and T loops).
Source: Rfam by way of RNAcentral
GUGGAUAUAGCUCAGAGGUAGAGUAUUUGCCUAGCAUGCUUAAGAGCAUGUCUGAGUUCAAUCCCCAGUAUCUCCC